RNAcentral lists this ribosomal RNA (403 nucleotides) under uncultured bacterium. RNAcentral describes it as "bacterial SSU rRNA". It matches the Rfam family "Bacterial small subunit ribosomal RNA", at positions 355 to 774 of the family's 1533-position model. The record is from RNAcentral.
UAGGGAAUAUUGCAUAAUGGGCGAAAGCCUGAUGCAGCAACGCCGCGUGUGCGUUGAAGGCCUUCGGGUCGUAAAGCACUUUUUGAGAGGAUGAGGAAGGCCAGUACUCUCAGAAUAAGCCUCGGCUAACUACGUGCCAGCAGCCGCGGUAAAACGUAGGAGGCGAGCGUUAUCCGGAUUUACUGGGCGUAAAGCGCGUGCAGGCGGUAAGGAAAGUUGGAUGUGAAAGCUCCUGGCUUAACUGGGAGAGGUCGUUCAAAACUACCUGACGAGAGUGUAGGAGAGGGAGGCGGAAUUCCGGGCGUAGAGGUGAAAUGCGUAGAUAUCCGGAGGAACACCAGUGGCGAAAGCGACCACCUUGCCAAAGACUGACGCUCAGACGCGAAGGCUAGGGCAGCAAACG